GCUACAUGGUGUUACACUGAAACCGUCCUUGCAACUGCUUUGCUCACUAGCAGGUUGACACGGUUGGUCCAAUAAUUUCUAUGGAAAAUGUCAACAUGGCUACAGACACUAACUCCUCACUAAGCAGCAGUGAUCCAGUGAAAUUGUGAAAAUAGCAUAACACAAACUGGAAACGAUGACCAUCAACCAGCAGCCACUUGCCAACUGUUCAGGGAAUAUAUGUUUCCCUAGCAACCAGAGGCUGCAAGGCUAUGACCUUAAGUUCUAAUAAGCUAACUGGAUAAUGGACAGGUGGUGAAAAUAAGCUUGCUUAGGGGGGAAAUGCUUUGUUCCUGCUACCACCACAGGAAAAGAGGGCAGUAAUCAGCUCACUAUGAAGGCUGCCGGCCGGAGCAGAGAGGGGAGGCAUGCAGGCUUAGAUCCACAGUCAGACCUCAAGAGAAAAGCCUGGCUCCCACACUCCAUCCCACAAACUUUUCCAUAAUGUGAAACCAUCGCUCAUUCUCUCAACUCUGUCGUCAUUCCAAACCGAGGAGAUCAGCGCUGUUACCACCCAGUAUGAUACUGGCAGCAAAUGAGCUUUAAGAAAGGAAGAAAGGCAGAUCGCUAUUGUCGAAUGAAAACCAGGGAAGUGUAAUUUUGGUUAUUUUUCUAUUUAAAUAUAAUUUUGCAGAUUUAUGGCCCCUCCGUUGCCCACAUUCAGUGUCAUGAAGCCCAUUUCAGAGUGGUUUUGAAGCACCUUCAGCUUUCAGCACUACCUGUCGUGGCCAGCCAGGCGUGGCACAGGUGGUGCCGUGACCCAGUCCAACGCAAGCUGGCAGAAAUCCCUCAGACGUAAACAGUGUAGGAAAAAUCAUCUCCAGCCAAGAACGCAGGGUUGAUAAGAGAAGGAUUCAUUAAGGAAACGCACCAAACUUUGACUCUGGGAGCGGCAGUGAGAGGGGAUCUAAAUUUUGGUCCUCAUUUUUAAAUUAUAGUGAUAAUAGUAACAGAUUAGCCACUUGAAAUUCACCUUAAAAUUUUCCAAAAACUAAAUCCAUGAUUUCAGACAAAGGUAGACGAAAGCAGUGUUACAAUUUCUGGUUGGUGACGAUCAGUAUUGCCAGUCCAGAAGCUGCUGCUGUAUUCUACAACGAACCAGGGGUCCAGAUGAAAAUACUGGAUUUAACCAUGUCAUUUCGCAUUUGUAUUUUGGAGAAGAAAAUUAACAGAGUAUAACAUUUUUGUACGUAUAGGUUUGCUUUUCUUUUAUGUCUGCGGUCACACUGCUUAAAAAACAUGCUGCGAAAUCUAAAGUUUCACAGGCCUGGUGUUUUUCAGUUGCUAAGCUGUUUGGAUGAUCACUUUGGUAAUUGGCAGGUCUUCCCACCUUCACCCUCACUGAAGUCUAACACUGUUGCUUGCAGUGACUGAGCUGACCAGCCUGUGGAAAAACAGAGAUCGCCCAUGAGAGGAAGAAUCUGACGUUUGAAGCAGCUGGCAGCUGAAUGCAGAGAAGAAGAACAGAGGACUGUCAACUACCUUGUAAGAGGCCAGGAAAGCUGAGGAAAACUCUGAUGGAUCAGUAAGAUAAAAGGAAUGAAGAAACUAGAAAAGCAGGGAUUUCCACAGCUGGCAGUGGGAUGAAAUGACCGUUCCAAAACAUUCAGUCUGUCAGUUCUCAGCUUCAAACCAGACUUUGACAUCUCUUCCUCGCCCGCAUCCAGAAACAAAGGUAAACGGAGAAAGACGAGAAAGCGAUAUGUGUUUCUGUCCGUGUGUGCAUGUGCAUCAUCAUCACCAUCAUUAGCUGCAUCCCCGGUGGAUGUCUUCGGGCGCAGCGGUCAGUCUGUAGUCUACCAGCGAUAGAGUGCCUGAUAAAGAGAAAACGUCAAGCACAAACUGGCGUCUGAGGCUUCAGAGUGAUGGAGGGCAGAAAAUGCCACAAAAAAUGAAUAAUU
This is a long non-coding RNA of Oreochromis niloticus (Nile tilapia), 1940 nucleotides long. RefSeq lists it as uncharacterized. The record is from RefSeq and is a predicted model, not a curated record. NCBI's taxonomy places the organism in Eukaryota, Metazoa, Chordata, Actinopteri, Cichliformes, Cichlidae. The transcript has 4 exons.